AUGCACUCAUUUUGACACAACUUCUUGUGCAGCCAUAAUUUCAUUUUGUCAAAGUGUAUCAAGUUUCAUUAAGGAUGGACGUUGCAUUGAGCAGAUUAGUCAAAAUUGCCAGUUCCAGACAAUUUAAUUGGCUUAAAUCUUUCCUCAUAAGGCUCUUGGGAUCUUUAGGGUAGAAAAAAGAAUAAUUGGCAAAAGUGUACAAAUACAAUAGGGUUCCAGCACCUUCUGUAAAUACAAUUUAUACAAAGUGCUUUUAAUUAUGAUUGUGGAUUCCUGAAAGUAAAUGCUUGAUGAAGAGGUGUGUGUCUUCAGCUGUUUCUUGAAGAUAGCGAUGCAACAAAGUAGCAAUCUCAGCAGACUGGAUGGAUGGAAGUUAAUGAAGUUUGUGGAAGGUGUCAUGUCUACCUUCUCGAUGAAGUUGCCCUGUUGGCUUAGAGAACAAGUGAGUUUUAGAAUCUAUGUAUCUGUAUCAGAAAUACAUUGUAAGAAACAUUUGGGUUAUUGAACUUAUCUUGUUAAUUUAAUGUUGUCACAUGGUCCAUAUUUACCAGUAGGGACUCAGACAGUUGCCUUGUUAAUGUUGACACAUGACCCACAUUUACUAUAGCAGGGGCUCAAACAGUGACAUGUAGAUGAAGAGAGUCAAGCAUAGAAACAGGAAAAACACAGAGUACCAGUAUUAGAUAUACACUGAUUUUAUGGUGUAACCAACUGAAAAACUUUAGAAACAUUUGGGUUAUUAAACUUACCUUGUUAAUAUACUGUUGUCACAUUGCCCAUAUUUAGCACAGUAUAGGCUCAAACAGUCACAUGUGAAUGAAGGAAGUCAAGCAUAGAAAGAAACAUAGAAGAACAGUUUCAGAAAUACAGUGAUUUUGUGGUGUAUUCAAAUAAAAGGCAUUCAGACUGAAUAUUGUAAGAAACAUUUGGGUUAUUGACCUUACCUUGUUAAUUUAAUGUUGUCACAUGACCCACAUUUACCAUAGUAGGAGCUCAAACAGUGGCAUGUAGAAGAUAGUCAUGCAUAGAAAAAAAAGAGAAAAAAAAUGGAAGACCAGUAUCAGAAAUACAGUGAUUUUAUUCAAACAAAACUUUCUGAUUUUAUAUUGUAAGAAACAUUUGGGUUAUUAAACUUACUUUUUUCAUUUAAUGUUUUCACAUGACCCCCCAUUUGCCAUAGUAGGGGCUCAAACAGUACAUGAAAAGGGUCAAGAAUACACAAAACACAGAAGACCAGUAUCAGAAAUACAGUGAUUGUAGGUUGUAAUCAAAUGAAACAUCUGAUUUUAUAAUGAAAGAAUAUUUAUUUUAGAUUGUAAGAAACAGUUGGGUUAUCGAACUCACCUUGUUAAUUUAAAGUUGUCACAUGACCC
Molecule: long non-coding RNA, 1373 nt
Organism: Cyprinus carpio carpio
Lineage: Eukaryota; Metazoa; Chordata; Actinopteri; Cypriniformes; Cyprinidae
Source: Ensembl